GUGGGGAAUAUUGGACAAUGGGCGCAAGCCUGAUCCAGCCAUGCCGCGUGAGUGAUGAAGGCCUUAGGGUUGUAAAGCUCUUUCACCGGUGAAGAUAAUGACGGUAACCGGAGAAGAAGCCCCGGCUAACUUCGUGCCAGCAGCCGCGGUAAUACGAAGGGGGCUAGCGUUGUUCGGAAUUACUGGGCGUAAAGCGCACGUAGGCUGAUAUUUAAGUCAGGGGUGAAAUCCCGGGGCUCAACCCCGGAACUGCCUUUGAUACUGGGUAUCUUGAGUAUGGAAGAGGUCAGUGGAAUUGCGAGUGUAGAGGUGAAAUUCGUAGAUAUUCGCAGGAACACCAGUGGCGAAGGCGGCUGACUGGUCCAUUACUGACGCUGAGGUGCGAAAGCGUGGGGAGCAAACAGGAUUAGAAACCCCAGUAGUCC
Molecule: ribosomal RNA, 425 nt
Filed under: uncultured bacterium
Lineage: Bacteria
Description: partial 16S ribosomal RNA
Rfam family: Bacterial small subunit ribosomal RNA
Source: RNAcentral